CAUCAAUUAGUGGGUUUAGACUCUAAAAAACUCAUAAUUUUACUAAUGUUUAUCAGCUUCUUCUCUUGAAUAUCAACGGGAUAAAGUUAAAUCACGACACUAAAUAU
This is a non-coding RNA of Capsicum annuum, 107 nucleotides long. The record is from Rfam. NCBI's taxonomy places the organism in Eukaryota, Viridiplantae, Streptophyta, Magnoliopsida, Solanales, Solanaceae.